GUAGUUGUUUCGGCAACUCGACCGGUGCUGAGAAGACGACCAAACUUGAUCAUUUAGAGGAAGUAAAAGUCGUAACAAGGUUUCCGUAGGUGAACCUGCGGAAGGAUCAUUACAGAAAUCCCAAAUACAAAACACUCAGUUCAACUGAGUUGUUUCCAGGUUGUAAUACUUGGAUGCCUCGCAGAAUGGCCUGCCUUCGGUGGAGCGCUUCAGUUCUACCUAUGCCUCGCAGAAUGGCCUGCCUUCGGUGGAGCGCUUCAGUUCUACCUAUGCCUCGCAGAAUGGCCUGCCUUCGGUGGAGCGCUUUAGUUCUACCUAUGCCUCGCAGAAUGGCCUGCCUUCGGUGGAGCGCUUUAGUUCUACCUAUGCCUCGCAGAAUGGCCUGCCUUCGGUGGAGCGCUUUAGUUCUACCUAUGCCUCGCAGAAUGGCCUGCCUUCGGUGGAGCGCUUCAGUUCCGCCUAUUUGUUAGGCUAUACCUGGUACAUUCGUGUGCCUACGUAUAGUUCCACCUGUGACAGGGUGCCUCCUCGUCUGAUGCUUGUGGGGUGCUUGCAAUCUUGCAUUGCCAGUUCAUCUUGCGGGUGACGAGAUGUGCUGUCGUUCGCGGCAGUGCUAGGCUUAAAGAGUAGCUGUUCCAGCUACGGCUAGGCUACCGCCCUGUUUGUUUGUUACCCAAAUCUAUUUUACACUGUUUAAGUGGUUCAGAUUGGCGCAAGUCAAUUUGUAUCAUUGCACACAACAUGGAUCUUGCGUGAGCUUGGUCGCAUGUUCAGUCGCCUGGCGGUGCCUUAUCCCAGGUAGGACUGAGAAACCUUCGUUCAUUUGGGAAACCAUUUGUUCGAGGUUCGUACAACUCUGAGCGGUGGAUCACUCGGCUCGUGUGUCGAUGAAGAGCGCAGCCAACUGUGUGAAUUAAUGUGAACUGCAUACUGCUUUGAACAUCGACAUCUUGAACGCACAUUGCGGCCAUGGGUUAGCCCAUGGCCACGCCUGUCCGAGGGUCGGCUUAUAAAUUAUCACGACGCCCUACAAGUCGUGGCUUGGGUUUUGCCAGCUGACGUGAUUUCCCCUUUUGGUAAUUUUGGGGUGUCAGAUCUAUGGCGUUUCCCUAAUGUAUCCGGUUACAACCGCAUAUUGGCAUAUUGCCUUUAUGAGGAUGUGGCUGCGGAGUCGUGGCUCAAUGGUAAUUUUAUGUGCGCGCUCCGUCAGUUCGUUCUGGUUUAAUGUUAACCGUAUAUUGCGCUUCGGCGUAUAUUUCCUGACCUCGGAUCAGACGUGAUUACCCGCUGAACUUAAGCAUAUCACUAAGCGGAGGAAAAGAAACUAACAAGGAUUCCCCUAGUAACGGCGAGUGAACAGGGAAAAGCCCAGCACCGAAGCCUGUGGCCAUUUGGUUACAAGGCAAUGUGGUGUUUAGGUCGUUCCGCAGAGGUUCUGCUCCACCCUAAGUCCAUCAAUGAGUACGGUAGUAUGGACGUGGCCCAUAGAGGGUGAAAGGCCCGUGGGGGUGGAGAUCCGAUUGGCCAGAGCCUCUCUGGGUAGACCUUGGAGUCGGGUUGUUUGAGAAUGCAGCCCAAAGUGGGUGGUAAACUCCAUCCAAGGCUAAAUACUAGCACGAGUCCGAUAGCGAACAAGUACCGUGAGGGAAAGUUGAAAAGUACUUUGAAGAGAGAGUAAACAGUGCGUGAAACCGCUCAGAGGUAAACGGGUGGAGUUGAACUGCAAGCUUUGAGAAUUCAGCUGGUGAGUGUGGGUUGAGCUUGGUCAAAUUGGUGAACUCCGGGGUCUGCGUAGUAGCAGGUCUUCGCCUUCGGGUGGGGAUGCGCGAUGCACUUGUCAAGUGUUGUGCGCUCUGGUUGUUCUUCGGCCUACUCGUCAGUGCACUUUCUCAGAGUAGUCACCACGACCGGCACCGCUGUCUGGCUGCUACGGUUAAACCGGUUAUCCAUUGUCCUUGUGGCUUUGUUUAGUCGGGAUGGCAGGUAGCUCGUUGACUUGCUUGUGGCUUGCUGCAGGCGUUCGGUUUUCGAGUGUAAUCAGCUGACUGUAGUGGUUCUGUGCAGUGUGUCGGAGACGGCGGCUUGAGGUGUGUGCAGGCGUUCCUGUUUGCUGACUUGUCCGGGUUUGGUUAUCAUGUUGCCUGUUCAAGCAGGCCUGGUGAUAGCCCGGAUUCGUUCGGUGGGCGGUUGCGUUUGUGGCACUUCCAAGGGCCAAUAGUCUGUGGUGUAGUGGUAGACUUUCCACCCGACCCGUCUUGAAACACGGACCAAGGAGAGUAACAUGUACGCGAGUCAUUGGGCAUUACGAAACCCAAAGGCGCAGUGAAAGUAAAGGUCUGACUCGUUCAGGCUAAGGUGAGAUCCUGUCGUUUCUCACGCGCGGUACUUCCAAGCAUCGAGCGGCAGGCGCAUCACCGGCCCGUCCCAUGACAGUUGUUUUCGGGCAGUUUUCGGUCGGGGCGGAGCAUGAGCGUACAUGUUGAGACCCGAAAGAUGGUGAACUAUGCUUGCGCAGGUUGAAGCCAGAGGAAACUCUGGUGGAGGACCGCAGCGAUUCUGACGUGC
This 2565-nucleotide ribosomal RNA is filed under the name Aptorchis megacetabulus. RNAcentral describes it as "eukaryotic LSU rRNA". The stretch from base 1261 to 2565 matches the Rfam family "Eukaryotic large subunit ribosomal RNA", at positions 1 to 894 of the family's 3401-position model. Lineage: Eukaryota; Metazoa; Platyhelminthes; Trematoda; Plagiorchiida; Plagiorchiidae. The record is from RNAcentral.